This 61-nucleotide small RNA is filed under the name Lactobacillus acidophilus. Its description in RNAcentral is "crRNA_11". Lineage: Bacteria; Bacillati; Bacillota; Bacilli; Lactobacillales; Lactobacillaceae. The record is from RNAcentral.
UGAUCCUGACUACGAUAUUUUCUUUUAAUUAUAUCUUGGGUUUUCUCCACGUAUGUGGAGG